This 430-nucleotide ribosomal RNA is filed under the name uncultured archaeon. RNAcentral describes it as "bacterial SSU rRNA". It matches the Rfam family "Archaeal small subunit ribosomal RNA", at positions 474 to 903 of the family's 1478-position model. The record is from RNAcentral.
UACCAGCUCUCCGAGUGGUGUGGAUGUUUAUUGGGCCUAAAGCAUCCGUAGCUGGCUGGGCAAGUCCCCUGUUAAAUCCACCGAUUUAAUCGUUGGUGUGCGGGGGAUACUGUUCGGCUAGGGGACGGGAGAGGCCGACGGUAUUUUCGGGGUAGGGGUGAAAUCCUAUAAUCCCGGGAAGACCACCAGUGGCGAAGGCUGUCGGCUAGAACGCGCCCGACGGUGAGGGAUGAAAGCUGGGGGAGCGAACCGGAUUAGAUACCCGGGUAGUCCCAGCUGUAAACGAUGCAGGCUAGGUGUUUGGGCGGCCACGUGCCGCUCUAGUGCCGCAGAGAAGUCGUUAAGCCUGCCGCCUGGGGAGUACGGCCGCAAGGCUGAAACUUAAAGGAAGUUGGCGGGGGAGCACCACAAGGGGUGAAGCUUGCGGUUU